Molecule: ribosomal RNA, 253 nt
Filed under: uncultured bacterium
Lineage: Bacteria
Description: partial 16S ribosomal RNA
Rfam family: Bacterial small subunit ribosomal RNA
Source: RNAcentral
UACGGAGGAUGCAAGCGUUAUCCGGAAUGAUUGGGCGUAAAGCGUCCGCAGGUGGCUGUGUAAGUCUGCUGUUAAAUAGUGAGGCUCAACCUCAUAAAGGCAGUGGAAACUACACGGCUAGAGUGCGUUCGGGGCAGAGGGAAUUCCUGGUGUAGCGGUGAAAUGCGUAGAGAUCAGGAAGAACACCGGUGGCGAAAGCGCUCUGCUAGGCCGCAACUGACACUGAGGAGCGAAAGCGUGGGUAGCAAACAGG